UUUCGUCUUCAUUCAGUCUCUGCCUUUAAACCAGAGCGUCUGUCGCCAUUUCCAGAAAUAAUUACCAUCACAUAAACACAACAAUCAAACUCCAAAUCUCGAGACAAGAAAAGUCAGGGGAGAGUCAAAGCGUUUGCUGUGGAGCAAAGAGACAAAUCUGACUGUUCGCAGAAACAAGAACGGGCAAGGAAUCGGGGAUUUGGUCUUGUCGGAAGUGAAGUGAAGUGAAGUGAGGGAUCAAGUUUCGGCAAUACGUAAAAUUCAGUCAACAUUCUCGUUCGUUUUCUCUCGGGAGAGAGGCAUUGUACGAGGAAAUCCAGUCUGAGAACAUAGUCGAUCUCUUUUGGGUCUCUGUUCUUUGAUCCGUCGGAGCUUCUCGCUGUAAUUUAGGCAUUUGAGGACUUGGGUUUUGAUCCUCAAGUUCAGGAUCUUGCUUUUGACGAGGCUUUCAAGCUAAAUUGUUUGGUAAGUCUUGAGCUUUUUCGAAAUGGUGGAGUUUGUUGAGCUAGAUAUGGAAAGUUGGAAAUUAGGGUUUGUAUUAUUGAGCGCUCUUGCUCUGUUAUGAGAUUGUAGUGGAAUUGGGAAUAGUAUAGUAUUAGAGUGUGCAUACCGAUGACUGAGAUACUCCAGUUAUUCUCGGUUUUGGUAAAUCAGAUCAAGAAGAGAUAGUUGUUCAAAUCCAUAUGUGAUCAAGAAGAGGAGCUUGUUGGGUGACAUUGAAUUGUGGUUGCUCGUGUAGUGCUUAUUUUAAGUGAUGCCUCCUUCCCCGGCAUUGAGAUGCUCCCCGGUCAGGGAGCUUCCCGGGAAGAACCAUAGACGAGGGCACAGCAUUGAAUAUGGGAUACUAUUCAAAGAAAAAGAUGAUGAUGAUGAUCUUGCAUUGUUCAGUGAAGUGCAAAACAAAGAGAGAGAGAACUUCUUACUUGAGUCAUCUGAUGAUUUGGAAGAUGCAUUUUCUUCAAAACUGAAGCACUUCUCUGAAUCCACCAUUCUUGUUCAAGGAGAGAGCAGUGGACUGCUGAAUGCAGAUGGAGACAAAAAUGAUUAUGAUUGGUUGCUUACGCCUCCGGACACGCCACUUUUCCCUUCAUUGGAUGAUGAACCACCAUCAGCUAGUUCUCCGAGCAGGGGGAGACCUCGGGGUCAGAUUUCGUUAUCUAGAUCUUCUACGAUGGAGAGGAGCCACCAGAGUAGUAAGGGUAGUGCAAGCCCAAAUCGCUUAAGCAUGUCACCUCAAUCUGGCAGUAUGCAUCAGAUGAAAGGAAGGACAUCUUCAACACAUCAGUCUAGUCCCACAUCUGCUCAACCAGCAGCUAUCCCGGUUAGGAGGACAUCUCCUUCUCCAAGUAAAUCCUCAAGGCCUGCUUCAAGGUCUUCCACGCCAAAUUCACGAAGGUUGAGCACAUGGUCAAAUACCAUGGCAUCAACAGCACUUAGGGGCACUUCUCCUUCGAGAUCUAGCCAUGGGAGCUCCUCUUCACCAAAAAUAAAAGCUUGGCAGUCAAAUAUUCCCGAGUUCUCACUGGAUGCACCGCCAAAUCUCAGGACAUCUUUGGCUGAUCGACCCGCUUCCUACGUGAGAGGUUCCUCACCGGCAUCCAGAAUUGGCAGGGACUCAUCCUCGAGACACAACAGACAAUCGGUUUCUCCUAUUGCUUCUAGAAGUGUCAGUUCAUCGCACAGUCACGAGCGGGACCGGUUUAGUUCUCAUAGCAAAGGUUCUGUGGCAUCAUCUGGAGAUGAUGAUCUUGAUUCUCUACAAUCUAUUCCCCUAAGUGGCUCAGAUCGUCCAGUCUCAAAGAGAACUAGCCUUUCUCCAAGUAAUAGAACUCCGAGAUCUUCAAAACUACUUUCACCUAGUUCUGCACCAAAAAAACCGUUUGAGUCUGCUCUUCGUCAAAUGGAUCAACGCAAAGGUCAUCGUAAUAUGUUCAGACCUCUUGUAUCUAGUGUUCCUUGCACGGGUCUCUAUGCUGGGAAGGACAGUUCGUCUUACCAUCAUAUUAUCCUAAGACCUUCCACUUCAACAGUAGGUGGCAGUGCAGAUUUUGGUCGAGUUACAGGGUUCAUUCCAGGUACUAAAGGAAGUGAGCUGCUCUGUGAUUGUCAUACUGAAAACGAGACAUUACAGCAUCCUAAUACACAUGAAGAAAUUUCUGCCUUAGAUAUAGAUUUAUUGAGCAAAGGAAAUAGAAGUAAAAACCAUGACAGUCCUUUACAUAACCUACUUGGCUGUCUGGAUCAAGGUAAUGCCACUGAAUGCAAUGCUGGUGUGUCAGAGGAGGUCAAUCAUCGUGUUGAUGUUGAUACCAAUUCAACUUCGGGUAAUUUGCCUGUAGCAGGGGAUGUGCCAGAAGGGGUUGCUCUUGAAAAUUUGGAGGCUUGUUCUAGAUGUGGUUUCCACUACUAUGCCACUGAACCAGUUGAGAGUGAGAUAAAUCUUUGCCCAGAUUGCCGAGAACAACAUGAUUUUGCGGAAACUGCUCUCCUCAGAACCACAGUGCUACUUGCUGAGAAUUCCCUAAACACUGUGAUGACUGCACAAGAAACGCUGCCGCAGCCUAUUGAAACACAGGAGAACAUUACGCAGGGACAAAAUUCCUGUGAGGAGGGACAGAAUUAUUUACAAGAGAACACUGUUUCUGAGGCUUUGACAGUAGGUGAUGGGGAGAGGUCCAAUCAUCAGCACGAAAUUCAUCAACCUUCCUCUGAUUGUAAUCUACUGGACAGAGACACAGAUGGCACCAAAACUCUGUUUUCUGACAAGCAUUGCGAUUUGAAGAUUGAUUCUUCAGAUGGUGGGCGCAGCAGUUUGCUUAUAAAGAGAUCAAGCAGUAUGAAGGCACCCACUACACGAGCUAAGAACUCAAAUGCCAUCAACAGAUCGUAUGAAGAUUUUUCUUUUGUAAGGGAGAGAAGCAACCGUCUUAGAAGCUCCACUGAGCAUGCCACUCUGUCUGCAUCGCCUUCUUCUGAUUUUGGUUCAUCUGUUCAGAAGGAAGCUCAUGUGCAACAACGAAGUGGCAACACACAUGAUGUAGGGUGUCAUAGAUAUGACAUAAACUCCAGGUCCCUGAGCAGUAUGUCAUCUUCAUCGGAAGUGUCUGGCCAUGUCGGCCAGGCUCCGAGUGUUAGGCUUGGGGCCAGUUCUGAACUGUUUGCUGUUGAUAUGAUAUCCACUGAUGAUCAGGCACAUCCAGAGUCUCAUCCCAAAAUCCAAGACUCGGGAAAUAAAGAAGCUGAUGUGAUGUACUCAGCUUUUGGGGAAAGCAGGAGAUCGAUUGGUAUUUCCUCCUUGGAGUUAUCAAGAGAUGUAGUCGGCACUGUAGCAGAGAGUAAUUCAGUUGCAUCACUUAACAACGAUGGCAACAAAGAUUUAUAUGAAGCAGGAGAUGGUGAAGCCAAGAAUCUGAUGAGCACAAUGGAAUCAGGAGAAUCACCAGUACACGUAAGGAGCACAUCAGAAUUAGGAGCAUUAUCUGUGGCUACUGUUUCGUCUUUUGAAGAUGACUCUCUGCUACAGGGUUCUAUUUAUCAAGAAAAGGAGGGAAAUGAAAUUUCCGAGCAUGGUUUGUCUGCAACAUCCUCGGAAAUAGAACUUGAGAAAUGUGAACACGAACAUCCUGGUUCAGAAGGUCACGACAUAUUUCUGGGAUCAGAGUGCAAUAGAAACGAACUUGAAGACUGUUCAGAUCUAUGCUCUUUGGGAAAGGAUGCGAGAAAUUCUGCUAUGGAACACAAUGCCUCUGCUCCAGCAAAUGGGAGUUUAGAAAAUUCAACUGUUAUUGUGGAGUGUCAUGAAGGAAGAGAACCCAAGAGCCUGACACUAGAAGAAGCAACCGACACAAUACUUUUCUGCAGCUCCAUUGUUCAUGAUUUAGCUUACCGGGCUGCAACAUUAGCCAUCGAGAAACAGGGAGACGUGGCCAUGGAAGAUUCAGGUCCAACAGUAAUGAUACUUGGGAAAUCAAACACAUACAAGGUUCAUAAACACAGUGGAACUAAGGUGAAACACAGUUCCAAAUCUACAAAAGGCAGGCAAAAACAAAUGGAAACAGAUUUGAAAGGUUCAAUCCCAAUGGAGAAUGAUGAAAAUGGAGGUGAAACAGUGACACCUAAUGUUGGAGUUAUGAAUAAAGGAGACAGUUUGAACCCUCCUAAAUUGGAAUCCAAAUGCAAUUGCUCCAUAAUGUGAAACUCAUGAUUCAUUUGGAUCACAGGCGAUGUGUGUCACUGCAGUAGAACCACAAUGGCUCACUGAGAUGCGGCCUAUGUUCUUCUCCAUGAAGGAAUCUGAUCAUGUAUAAAAGGGGGAAAGCAGAAGCAAGAUAUAUCUCAGGUUCAAGGUUGAAGAAAGGCGGUACAUACUACAGGCCUAAGAACUCUACUUGUCGGACGUCGUAAAGUUGAAGUGCCUGCAAUUACCAUGCCAAAUAUCAGUUCGAGUUCGGGAAAGAAGUCAAAGUCGAGAAAGAGUAAAUCAAGGCUUCCAACCUGUGAAUCCUGCAGCAGCUCCGACCGCCAUGCCCAUGUACAUCCAAACCAUUUCAUCGUCAUCAUCAUCAUCAUCAUCUUUGCCUUCAU
RNA transcript from Tarenaya hassleriana, 4584 nucleotides. RefSeq lists it as uncharacterized. The transcript has 9 exons. Lineage: Eukaryota; Viridiplantae; Streptophyta; Magnoliopsida; Brassicales; Cleomaceae. The record is from RefSeq and is a predicted model, not a curated record.